UACGUAGGGGGCUAGCGUUGUCCGGAUUUAUUGGGCGUAAAGAGCGUGUAGGCGGCCAUUCAGGUCAGCUGUGAAAACUCGAGGCUCAACCUCGAGACGUCGGUUGAAACCGUUUGGCUAGAGUCCGGAAGAGGAGAGUGGAAUUCCCGGUGUAGCGGUGAAAUGCGCAGAUAUCGGGAAGAACACCCGUGGCGAAGGCGGCUCUCUGGGACGGUACUGACGCUGAGACGCGAAAGCGUGGGGAGCGAACAGG
This 253-nucleotide ribosomal RNA is filed under the name uncultured bacterium. RNAcentral's name for it is "partial 16S ribosomal RNA". It matches the Rfam family "Bacterial small subunit ribosomal RNA", at positions 524 to 776 of the family's 1533-position model. The record is from RNAcentral.